CUGGCUCAGGACGAACGCUGGCGGCGUGCCUAACACAUGCAAGUCGAACGGAGAACUCAAUAAGCUUGCUUAAAGAGUUCUUAGUGGCGGACGGGUGAGUAACGCGUGGAUAACCUACCUAGUAGACCGGGACAACCCUUGGAAACGAGGGCUAAUACCGGAUAAGCUUACGCCUU
RNAcentral lists this ribosomal RNA (176 nucleotides) under Desulfitobacterium chlororespirans DSM 11544. RNAcentral describes it as "16S rRNA. Bacterial SSU". It matches the Rfam family "Bacterial small subunit ribosomal RNA", at positions 19 to 187 of the family's 1533-position model. The record is from RNAcentral. Lineage: Bacteria; Bacillati; Bacillota; Clostridia; Eubacteriales; Desulfitobacteriaceae.